AGUAAAUCGAAGCAUUGUUUUAACAAUUGUCCGGCAUGUUUAGAGGAUAUUGAAUUAAAGUUAAAUCUUUCUCAGUUUCCAAAUAACAGCAGUGAGUACAAACAAAUUGCAAAAUCAGUGGGUCUUCUGCAAAAAAAAAGAAGAGGUAUUAUUAGAUGUAACAAAAAAAAUAGUUAAAAAGUUGGAUGUACAAUUUAAUAAAACAUUUAAGACAUCAUUUUCGCAAACACAUGCUGACCUCCUUGAUAUUGGAUAUGCAAAUCCAUCAGAAAUUAAACAAACACAGAAGCUAAUAAUAAAAAGUACAAUAUCUAAAAUUGAAAAUCAAUGGAAAGCUACUAGUGUUGAAAGAGUUUAUGGUACAAAUCUUUCACUCCGAACAAGAAACAAGUUAAGACUUUCAUCAAGUAUGGAGUCCUAUCAUGAAGCUGAACACAGAAAGAUAGAAACUGAGAACCAAAUGAAAAAGGGUGUUAAGCGAAAAAAAAGUCAUGUUGGCUCUACUGAACGAUAUACAUGGAAAAAAGAGAAGUGUCUCAAUGAAUUUUUAAAUUACAAAGAAG
This is a non-coding RNA of Hydra vulgaris (swiftwater hydra), 563 nucleotides long. NCBI's taxonomy places the organism in Eukaryota, Metazoa, Cnidaria, Hydrozoa, Anthoathecata, Hydridae. The record is from RefSeq and is a predicted model, not a curated record.